CCUACGGGAGGCUGCAGUGGGGGAUAUUGCACAAUGGGGGGAACCCUGAUGCAGCGACGCCGCGUGGGUGAAGGAGCGUUUCGGCGCGUAAAGCCCUAUCGGCAGGGAAGAAGAUGACGGUACCUGUCCACGUAGCCCCGGCUAACUACGGGCCAGCAGCCGCGGUAAUACAGAGGGGGCAAGCGGUAUGCGGAUUUACUGGGUGUAAAGGGGGCGCAGACGGCAAUGCAAGCCGGGAGUGAAGGCCCCGGGCCCAACCCCGGGACUGCUCUUGGAACUGGAUGGCUGGAGUACAGGAGGGGCAGGCGGAAUUCCUAGUGUAGCGGUGAAAUGCGUAGAGAUUAGGAGGAACACCGGUGGCGAAGGCGGCCUGCUGGACUGUGACUGACGUUGAGGCCCGAAGGCGUGGGGAGCAAACAGGAUUAGAUACCCGGGUAGUC
This 440-nucleotide ribosomal RNA is filed under the name uncultured bacterium. Its description in RNAcentral is "partial 16S ribosomal RNA". It matches the Rfam family "Bacterial small subunit ribosomal RNA", at positions 338 to 795 of the family's 1533-position model. The record is from RNAcentral.